RNAcentral lists this transfer RNA (73 nucleotides) under Pelobates cultripes (western spadefoot toad). RNAcentral's name for it is "tRNA.Met". It matches the Rfam family "tRNA". Rfam says of the family: Transfer RNA (tRNA) molecules are approximately 80 nucleotides in length. Their secondary structure includes four short double-helical elements and three loops (D, anti-codon, and T loops). Lineage: Eukaryota; Metazoa; Chordata; Amphibia; Anura; Pelobatidae. The record is from RNAcentral.
GCCUUGUUAGCGCAUUAGGUAGCGCGUCAGUCUCAUAAUCUGAAGGUCAUGAGUUCGAUCCUCACUCAGGGCA